UUCCUGAUGGUGCAGUGGUUAGGACUCUAUGCUCUCAUUGCUGAGGGCCUGGGUUCAAUUCCUGGUCAGGGAA
Molecule: transfer RNA, 73 nt
Filed under: Bos taurus (domestic cattle)
Lineage: Eukaryota; Metazoa; Chordata; Mammalia; Artiodactyla; Bovidae
Also listed under: 1 other name
Rfam family: tRNA
About the family: Transfer RNA (tRNA) molecules are approximately 80 nucleotides in length. Their secondary structure includes four short double-helical elements and three loops (D, anti-codon, and T loops). Further hydrogen bonds mediate the characteristic L-shaped molecular structure. tRNAs have two regions of fundamental functional importance: the anti-codon, which is responsible for specific mRNA codon recognition, and the 3' end, to which the tRNAs corresponding amino acid is attached (by aminoacyl-tRNA synthetases). tRNAs cope with the degeneracy of the genetic code in two manners: having more than one tRNA (with a specific anti-codon) for a particular amino acid; and 'wobble' base-pairing, i.e. permitting non-standard base-pairing at the 3rd anti-codon position.
Source: Rfam by way of RNAcentral